Molecule: ribosomal RNA, 331 nt
Filed under: uncultured bacterium
Lineage: Bacteria
Description: bacterial SSU rRNA
Rfam family: Bacterial small subunit ribosomal RNA
Source: RNAcentral
UGUGUAGGCGGUUCUCCAAGUUUGGUGUGAAAUCUCCCGGCUCAACCGGGAGGGUGCGCCGAAAAACUGGAGGGCUAGAGUGCGGGAGGGGAGAGUGGAAUUCCUGGUGUAGCGGUGAAAUGCGUAGAUAUCAGGAGGAACACCGGUGGUGUAGACGGCUCUCUGGACCGUAACUGACGCUGAGACACGAAAGCGUGGGUAGCAAACAGGAUUAGAUACCCUGGUAGUCCACGCCCUAAACGAUGCAUAUUUGGUGUGGGUCAUUCAGUUGAUCCGUGCCGGAGCUAACGCGUUAAAUAUGCCGCCUGGGGAGUACAGUCGCAAGGCUGAA